GCCCAUUUGACAAGUUCUCUUAUGACGUGUAGGGGUGUCAUUGUGAUCUAGUUUCAUGAAGAAGAAGAGCGAAUAGAUUUUUAUAAAUUAUUUUGAUUAUAAAUAAGUUUAAAUUAGAUUUAAAAAGAUUUAUGAUUUAUUAUAAUAAGAUAGAUUCAGAUAUAAAAAUUAUUUUAAAAUCUAAACAAUAUGUUACAUUAGAUACAAUCGG
This 211-nucleotide long non-coding RNA is filed under the name Elaeis guineensis (African oil palm). Its description in RNAcentral is "long non-coding RNA (EGUI_LNC070852)". Lineage: Eukaryota; Viridiplantae; Streptophyta; Magnoliopsida; Arecales; Arecaceae. The record is from RNAcentral.